Molecule: ribosomal RNA, 253 nt
Filed under: uncultured bacterium
Lineage: Bacteria
Description: partial 16S ribosomal RNA
Rfam family: Bacterial small subunit ribosomal RNA
Source: RNAcentral
UACGUAGGGGGCAAGCGUUAUCCGGAUUUACUGGGUGUAAAGGGGGCGCAGACGGCGAUGCAAGCCAGGAGUGAAAGCCCGGGGCCCAACCCCGGGACUGCUCUUGGAACUGCGUGGCUGGAGUGCAGGAGGGGCAGGCGGAAUUCCUAGUGUAGCGGUGAAAUGCGUAGAUAUUAGGAGGAACACCAGUGGCGAAGGCGGCUUACUGGACAGUAACUGACGUUGAGGCUCGAAAGCGUGGGGAGCAAACAGG